Long non-coding RNA from Mus musculus (house mouse), 2443 nucleotides. RefSeq annotates it as predicted gene, 32442. The transcript has 3 exons. The record is from RefSeq and is a predicted model, not a curated record. Lineage: Eukaryota; Metazoa; Chordata; Mammalia; Rodentia; Muridae.
CUCUCUUUCUGUUCCUUUUCUGGUACUGGGUACUGAACCAAAGGCCUUGUGCUUCAUUGCAAAUGCUUUACCACUGAGCUAAUUCCUCAGCAUAGUCACAAGCUUUCAGAGAAGGAAGGCAAGGCGUGUGUAGCUCAAGAAUAAGAGCAGACGUACACUUGGCCCUGUGAUGGGCUGGUCAGAUUUUCUUUCUUUUUAUUAAACUAGUAACCCGAACCAUUUGUACAGACAAAAUGUCCUUGGGAUUCUUUCGCAUGUUCUUGAAAGUGGUGCCAAGAGGGAAGAAAGUGUUUUUAUGAUGGUGGAAUGGGUACCAACAUCUACCUAUUUAAAUUUGAAUAGUAAAGCCCCCCCCCCCGCGCCCCCUGAUUAGUUUGUCAGGGUUGUUAGAACAAACAGAGCAAAAGCCCCACAGACUGGUUGGCUAAAUAACAGAAAUGUUUGUUUUUCCAGGUCUGGAGCCUGGAAGUCUGAGGUCAAGGUGUUGGCUGAGUUGGUUUCUUUUGAAGCCUCUCUUCUUGGCUUGUAGACAGCCUCUGUCUUCUCAGGACGUCCUCACAUGGCCUUUGCUUUUUGCCUGUGUGAAGAUUUCCACUGAUUAUUAUAAAGGAAAAUGCUAUUGGAUAAGCACUAAGAGCCUUUACCCAGAGGCCCUUGCUUUAACGGAAUUAACUUUCGAGGACCCCAUUGUUUCCAAACACAGCCACAGUCGGAGCCACUAGGAGUUAGGAUUUCAGUGCAUGAAUUGGGAGACUCGCAAUAUGGACUUUAUAUCCUUUUUUUUUUUUUUAAAGGUGAAUAUAGUUCAGUGAAGUUUGUUUUCAUAAUCAAAAGAAAUCAGACUUCUUCUCCCCGCCCCCUUUUGAGACAAAUUGAUUUGUGAUGACUUUGUCCAAGGCCUGCUAACAUUUUAAAGUAGUAGCCAAACUUCUCAUUUUUUUCUGUGUUCUGUAACAGGCUUUAUGGGUCCACGAAGUCUUUCCUAAAACCAUCAAAAAUAAGUACAUUUCAGAAUUCAGAACAUUCAAGUUGCUAAAAAAAUGGUGAAUGUCCUGUGUGAUUACCUAUCUUGAUGAGGUAGUGUGAUGAGGGUCUGUAACAUCAUAUAUACAAAGUUGUGUUGACAUUUUGUAGUAGAAGACAAGAAGAAAAUAUGUUCAUGCUCAGCAAUUUGGAUCUGAACUCAUCCUGCAAGGGAUUCCUGUAUAGUCAGUCAGUGGUUGGGAGCACUACCUCUGCCGCAGUGGGACUUAGUUCCCAGCACCCACACUGCAGCUUGUACCACUCUAGUUCCAAGGGAUCCAACAUUCUCAUCAGGGACACACAUGAUGUGUCCUCCUAUAUGCUGGCAAAUACUUAUAAACAUAACAUAAAGAUUUGAAAAAGAAUAAGGACCACUCCUUUGAAGAUUAUCUGAUAUGCUUGGUGCAAUCUGUACCCAACGCAGUAAAACCAAGAUAACUUAUGUAGUCAGAUCGUGGAUCUCAGGUAUUAAACAUCAAAGUAGUCUAUCCUUGGUGUGGAGCAAAGGGAGUUUUCAACAAAUUAGGUUUCCUCCUUCCUAGAACUCUCUUCUCAACUCCAAUACAAUCUGCCAAACCUCCCAGACACCUCCUGUUAACCCACCAUGUACCCUGAGAGCAAACCCCUGUGCCUGCUGGGUCUCAGUUUCUCCGCUGCUACACUGAAGACAUGAAAGUUGGGCCUGCCUCCUAAGAUCCCCUUCCAUUGUGACUUUAAAGUCGCUAGAGAAGCUCUGACACAAGGCUUCCUCCGCCAGCUAUCAGCGGCCAUCUGGCAAUUAGCAGCCUCUGAGGCAGCUAAUCCCACUCUGAGCUGGAUUAAAGCUGAAGUUUAAAACACGGAGAUAGGCAGGUGAUUUCUGUUUGAGUCUUUGGGUCCUGCUGUCCCCGGCAGCAUGGUGAGAGGCCAGAAAAGCUGAUUUCUUUCCCUUAUCUAUCCUGGGAGGCUCAGAGAGCAAGAUCAGCCUUCCAGAGCGGCACCACGCUGGGCAGUGUGUGGGACUGCAGGAGUCAGCAGAAGUCAUGUGCACCUCAUUGCUGAUAGAAGGUGAAUCAAAGGAGGGGACCCAAGCGACCAUCACUUCAGGCUGGAGUGUUCAGUGAGCUGGACUAGCUAGGACAAAGCAGUCUCCUGUGACAUCUGCUGUCUUCCCAAGGUGUGAGCCAGCAGAGCCCACCCCUCUGUGUAACUUAUUUCAUAUCAUCUACACUUUCCAAUAAGCCCUUACUCUAUUAGAUUGCUUCCUGGAAGAGCCAAAUAUUAAAAAUCACCGGUCAGUCGGUUUCUUUAUUCUGUUAGUCACCAAACUGAUUUUUUAAGCUCAGAACCAAUAAAGCUGUGAUGGUGAAGAACAGAUAUAGAUUUCUCUUUCCCACACACUCAUAUAUAAUAAUAAUAAAACUUUAUUAAACAAGAGACA